This 95-nucleotide small RNA is filed under the name Salmonella enterica subsp. enterica serovar Muenchen. RNAcentral's name for it is "partial RtT sRNA". It matches the Rfam family "RtT RNA", at positions 1 to 91 of the family's 130-position model. Rfam says of the family: This family represents a bacterial cis-regulatory element known as RtT RNA. The exact function of RtT is unknown although it is thought that it may be involved in changing the cellular response in relation to amino acid starvation. The record is from RNAcentral. Lineage: Bacteria; Pseudomonadati; Pseudomonadota; Gammaproteobacteria; Enterobacterales; Enterobacteriaceae. RNAcentral also lists the same sequence under 2 other names.
UGUAUCUGAAGUCUGACGAGGAUGAGAACCUCCGGGGGCAAGAGGUUCGACUCGAGCGAAGCGAGAGAACGUUGCGUCAGCAACGGCCCGCAGGG